This 467-nucleotide ribosomal RNA is filed under the name uncultured bacterium. RNAcentral describes it as "partial 16S ribosomal RNA". It matches the Rfam family "Bacterial small subunit ribosomal RNA", at positions 29 to 507 of the family's 1533-position model. The record is from RNAcentral.
ACGAACGCUGGCGGCGUGCUUAACACAUGCAAGUCGAACGGAAAUGCCCUGCUUUUGUGGGGUGCUCGAGUGGCGAACGGGUGAGUAACACGUGAGUAACCUGCCCUUGACUUUGGGAUAACUUCAGGAAACUGGGGCUAAUACCGGAUAGGAGCUCCUGCUGCAUGGUGGGGGUUGGAAAGUUUCGGCGGUUGGGGAUGGACUCGCGGCUUAUCAGCUUGUUGGUGGGGUAGUGGCUUACCAAGGCUUUGACGGGUAGCCGGCCUGAGAGGGUGACCGGCCACAUUGGGACUGAGAUACGGCCCAGACUCAUACGGGAGGCAGCAGUGGGGAAUAUUGCACAAUGGGCGGAAGCCUGAUGCAGCAACGCCGCGUGCGGGAUGACGGCCUUCGGGUUGUAAACCGCUUUCGCCUGUGACGAAGCGUGAGUGACGGUAAUGGGUAAAGAAGCACCGGCUAACUACGUG